This is a long non-coding RNA of Anarrhichthys ocellatus (wolf-eel), 3103 nucleotides long. RefSeq lists it as uncharacterized. The record is from RefSeq and is a predicted model, not a curated record. The transcript has 4 exons. Lineage: Eukaryota; Metazoa; Chordata; Actinopteri; Perciformes; Anarhichadidae.
ACCUUUGGCUGCUGUUCAAGGUCAUUAAGUUGGACCGACUUCACAUCAUUGCAAUGCUUUAACUUCUUUGGACGCUUCCCAUGGUCUUUCAUUUGUAGCUCAUCCAUAUUUAUCUUUCUUUCUUCCACUGUAAUGGUGUCUCUUGAAAGUUGGACCGACUUGACAUUGUCAUGCUCAGCCACCUUUGGCUGCUGUUCAAGGUCAUUAACUCGGGCCGACUUGACAUCAUUGCAAUGCUUUGACUUCCUUAGACCCUUCCAAAAGUUUUUCAUGUUUAGGUUAUACAUAUUUAUCUUUCUUCCUUCCACUGGUGUCUCUUGAAAGUCCUCAAUAACUAGUUUGGAGAAUUAAAGUCUGGGGUAUAGAGUUUUUUUGCCUCUGAUUUAUCUUUCUUCGUCCCACUGUAGGCUAGUACUGGUGUCUCUUGAACGUCCUCAAUAACUAGAUUGGAGAAGUAGUCUGGGGUCGGUAGGCUAUAUAGUUUAUUUUCCUUUGAUCUGGACAAAUUGUUGUCUUUCAUCUCUUUAUGACGUCAUGCCGUUCUAUAGUCUGUUUCUGAACUGACGUUUUGCCUUUGAUCUUGACGAAUCACGUGUGACGUCAUUCUAUGCGCAAGCUGUGGCCGUUUGGAGACCGAAUGCGUCACCGCGACUGCGACGAGGCUGUCCCAUGAAUACAGACAUAUUUAAAUGCUGAAAUAAAUAAAUAUAAUAGUAAAUAAAUGCUGAGAUGAAUAAAUGAAAGUUGAUACUGUAACAGACUGUCUCAUGUUUGUCGUUCUGGUGUUGACGAUGUUAUGUCCCUUGAGGGUUACCGUAGCGAAGGCGCAACUCCCGCCUCUGGCCAAAGGAGAAAACAAUAAUAAAGAGAGUAGCCGUGGGCUGACACAAGAUAUCUGGUCUCCCGACUCCAGUUAUUACUGUAUGAUAAGUGCCCUUAUACACGAACCCAAGACGCUCGGUUACAAUACCUAAACGGGACGUAAGUAAAUAAAUACAUUUCUGUAUUCCUUCAUUUAUUUAUUUCUGUGUCCGUAUGUUAGUGAGGUAGGCGGUCCGAACCUCAUUCUUAAGCAGGAUUGAUCGAGUAGGGGAGCAAGACAGAAGCAACCGAUUCCUAGCAAAUCAUCCCUGUGGACGACGUCAAAAACUAGCUAGCAGCACUCAUGGCUUCGACCGGGCGGCCGCUGGCAGACCUGCGGGUUGUGGCUGACCAGCUUGAGAACUGUGAGUUUCUUCUGUUUAAACGUAUAAGCAGCAUAACAACAGCAGUUGUUUAGCUAAAUACUGUUGGUCAAAGUGCCAAUAUACUCUAUUAAACUGAACUAGGCAGCCAUGUGGCGUUCACUGCUUUGUUAUUUUUUUGUGCAGCACCGAGGACCGCAAACGAGCUAAGUUCACCUCCGCGGCCGCAACAUAACGUAACACCCAGGCACCCAGUGGACGGUUGGUUUCUGCGGCCGCAACAUAACGUAGCACCCAGUGGACGGUUGGUUUCUGCAGGGAACACUUUUCCAUGCUAAAUCCCUUGUGUAAACUAAAUCACUAUCGCGGUGAUGAGUGAUUCAUUUAUUCAUGCUGUGCGUCUGAUCACAUUCCUGUAAAGUGUGCGAUGAUAUCGUUAGCCAACAUGUUUCGUCUGCAACGUUCUUAUGUUCUUGUACUGAUUAUAGCUUAUCCUCUUCACUUGAUUCUAGCCGAGGUUUCAAGACUGUUUGUUUGGUCCAUACUUUGGAGGGAGAAUGACGACAAGGAGGCGAACUGUUGCUGCGCCCGCACAACUUCAUUCGUACACUCACUCUUUCUGUUGUAUUGAGGAUAAAAAUGCGGCCUUAGUCCCCAACCGACACGCCAGAGGUAGACUUGCUGCUGCAGGACUAGGGGAAAACGUCUUACAUUCCAAGGUAAGUCAGGCAUCAUGAUGGACAGACGCAUCUUUCUUGAAUUUUAGUUACCUUUCAAAAACAUCAAACGUUAUUAUAUUUCAAGUUAGAUCGGUUGUUUGGAUUAUUAUCUUCUAUUUUCAGGUAGUCAUACAGAUCCAGAUGACUUUAGAGAAUUUAUUUUAGAGGCAUAUCCAAAACUCAGACAAGGGGGAGGAUUUGAGUUGCUCAAAAUCUCUGGAACAACAUGGUCGCCAACUGAUCAUCAUACCAUGUCCCAAUGAGGGUUACCAUGUGAGACAUUUAAAAGAUCCACAAACACAGAUUGGUCAUGCUACAAUUUUCAUCCGACCACUCCAAAGAAAGCUGAAUCUGGAACGCUGUAAGAUCCUCACUUUUAAAUUGGUGUUCCCAUAUGAAAAUGGCAAGAGUAUGAACAUUUACACAAGUAUAGCUUGUGUUACAUUUUAAAAUGAUCUUGUUUACAGGCAUGUCAACCAGAAUGCAGUAAUGAGCUAGUUGGACCACCUCAGAAAUGUGACGUGUGGAGAGGAGUUCCCUUUUACAAGAAUCAAGGCUCCCAGUGAUGAAUGCGUGAGACCAUCACAGAACAGUGGUGAGGUAGAAACUGUGGUGACAACAGACAAGUGCCUCCCGAAGUGAAGGUAGAUUUGUGAGCAUGUUGACAAGGCUACAAGUGAGACAACAAGGGCCAGCAACACAAACUACUGCGUGCCACCUCUCAGGGACAUGUGGCUGCUCCUGAGAUAGUUGACCUAGAUCCCACUGAGGAGAGAGGCUUCCCAGAUUGGAAAAUUCUUUCAAAUCCCAGUGAGGCAGCAAAGGGAUUUAAAGAAGACAUUUUAAGCCGGCAUGCAACUGGAAAAUCAUUCUAUCUUACCAUGGAUCUUGGAGACAGUGCAGAGGACAGUCCUUUCUUUUUAUAAGAGGGCUAAUGUUGAGUAGGCUUGCCCCUUGACAUGCACACUCGAGGGAGAUCCAGCAAUUGGUGAUGGCGUGACUCGCUGUUUCUUUGCAAGCAUCAUGUCCAAACUUCAGUAUGGUUUCGAGAUGAAUUUUGGUAAACUUCAGGGGACGUUUUGGGAGGAAUUUCGUCAUCCAGCGCAGCUGUGUGCCUCGCUCCCUGGUGUACCGAGCCGCAUAUGUGCCGGGCUGCCCCCAGGACGUCAACCCAUACCUGUAUUAUCCUGCUGCCCAACG